This 329-nucleotide unclassified non-coding RNA is filed under the name soil metagenome. Its description in RNAcentral is "partial contains 5.8S ribosomal RNA, internal transcribed spacer 2, and large subunit ribosomal RNA". The stretch from base 1 to 120 matches the Rfam family "5.8S ribosomal RNA", at positions 35 to 154 of the family's 154-position model. The record is from RNAcentral.
GAUGAAGAACGCAGCGAAAUGCGAUAAGUAGUGCGAAUUGCAGAAUUCAGUGAAUCAUCGAAUCUUUGAACGCACAUUGCGCCCCUUGGUAUCCCGAGGGGCAUGCCUGUUCGAGCGUCAUUUCACCACUCAAGCCUGGCUUGGUGUUGGGCGACGUCCCCUUUGGGGACGCGCCUCGAAACGCUCGGCGGCGUGGCACCGGCUUUAAGCGUAGCAGAAUCUUUCGCUUUGGAAGUCGGGGCCCCGUCUGCCGGAAGACCUACUCGCAAGGUUGACCUCGGAUCAGGCAGGGAUACCCGCUGAACUUAAGCAUAUCAAUAAGCGGAGGA